Molecule: ribosomal RNA, 401 nt
Filed under: uncultured bacterium
Lineage: Bacteria
Description: bacterial SSU rRNA
Rfam family: Bacterial small subunit ribosomal RNA
Source: RNAcentral
UCGGGAAUUUUGGGCAAUGGGCGAAAGCCUGACCCAGCAACGCCGCGUGAGGGAUGAAGUAUUUCGGUAUGUAAACCCCGAAAGAAUGGGAAGAAUAAAUGACGGUACCAUUUAUAAGCUCCGGCUAACUACGUGCCAGCAGCCGCGGUAAUACGUAGGGAGCAAGCGUUGUUCGGAUUUACUGGGCGUAAAGGGCGCGUAGGCGGCGCGGUAAGUCACUUGUGAAAUCUCUGAGCUUAACUCAGAACGGCCAAGUGAUACUGCUGUGCUAGAGUGCGGAAGAGGCAACCGGAAUUCUUGGUGUAGCGGUGAAAUGCGUAGAUAUCAAGAGGAACACCUGAGGCGAAGGCGGGUUGCUGGGCCGACACUGACGCUGAUGCGCGAAAGCCAGGGGAGCAAAC